Molecule: non-coding RNA, 691 nt
Organism: Camellia sinensis
Lineage: Eukaryota; Viridiplantae; Streptophyta; Magnoliopsida; Ericales; Theaceae
Source: RefSeq, a predicted model, not a curated record
UCUGCAUUCUUUUGAUUUUUAUUAAAAGCAGUCAGGCUGGCUGGAAGCUAGCAACUAUUAUCUCAGGAACCCUUUUUCUUUUUUUUUUUUUUGGUGAAUUUCUAGUAGUUAUGGUUUUAUCAAAACAUAGAUGUGAAAAUUAGUCUUAAUUGAAUUGCUGGGGUAUGUUUGUCGAUGUGUCUUACUUACGUUGUGGCAGAAGUUAAACACUGUGAGCAGGCCGACAUUGACUUCCGAGGGCAUGAGGAGAUCUACUCUGAACCUGGUGGAGUGAUGGACUACGAGGAAGACCGAAGCCGACCAAAGAGGAGGCGACAUCCAAUGGCUUGAAGAAAGAGAAUUGAAUCCAUAGAAUUGGUUGUCUGCCAACUAUUGCCGUUUUUUUGUUCGUGGCAUUCCAACAACACUUGAUUGCAGAUUUUGGAGAGACACUCGUCUCUUUCGAAUUUGAACUUUCCUGUUAAUUUUGAACUCAAAUAUUUGACAGUUAGUUUGUAUUGGAACCAUAUCAUCAUUAUUCGUUUUGAGUCAACAAAGAUUAUAUUGGAUUUGAUAGUGCGGCUUAGAAAGUUAUAUCGCUAAUAUGCAAAGCGAUAAUUUCAGUUAUUGUGCUUUAUGAUGUUGCACUUAAAAAUCCUACUUUAUUUAUUUAUGGAAUUAACUUUUGCAAUGGAUACAAAAUGCUCGUGUC